AGAGAAUUUCCAAUCGGG
This 18-nucleotide small nuclear RNA is filed under the name Arabidopsis thaliana (thale cress). RNAcentral describes it as "snRNA_01851". The record is from RNAcentral. Lineage: Eukaryota; Viridiplantae; Streptophyta; Magnoliopsida; Brassicales; Brassicaceae.